GACCGGGUGAGUAACACGUGACUAACCUACCUUUCAGUGGGGAAUAACCUCGGGAAACCGGGGCUAAUACCGCAUAAUGUCUUCGGACCAAAGGAGCAAUUCGCUGGAAGAGGGGGUCGCGGCCGAUUAGCUAGUUGGCGGGGUAACGGCCACCAAGGCAAUGAUCGGUACCGGCCUGAGAGGGCGCAAAGGCACACUGGAACUGAAACACGGUCCCAGACUCCUACGGGAGGGCAGCAGUUGGGGAAUUUUUGCGCAAUGGGGGGAAACCCUGGACGCAGCAACGCCGCGUGGGAGGAUGGAAGCCCCC
Molecule: ribosomal RNA, 310 nt
Filed under: uncultured bacterium
Lineage: Bacteria
Description: bacterial SSU rRNA
Rfam family: Bacterial small subunit ribosomal RNA
Source: RNAcentral